Molecule: ribosomal RNA, 253 nt
Filed under: uncultured bacterium
Lineage: Bacteria
Description: partial 16S ribosomal RNA
Rfam family: Bacterial small subunit ribosomal RNA
Source: RNAcentral
UACAGAGGGUGCGAGCGUUGUUCGGAAUUACUGGGCGUAAAGGGCGCGUAGGCGGCCCGCUAAGUCGAACGUGAAAUCCCCGAGCUCAACUCGGGAACUGCGUCCGAUACUGGCGGGCUUGAAUCCGGGAGAGGGAUGCGGAAUUCCAGGUGUAGCGGUGAAAUGCGUAGAUAUCUGGAGGAACACCGGUGGCGAAGGCGGCAUCCUGGACCAAUAUUGACGCUGAGGAGCGAAAGCCAGGGGAGCAAACGGG